UGGGGAAUUUUGGACAAUGGGCGAAAGCCUGAUCCAGCAAUGCCGCGUGUGUGAAGAAGGCCUUCGGGUUGUAAAGCACUUUUGUCCGGAAAGAAAUCCUUGGCUCUAAUACAGUCGGGGGAUGACGGUACCGGAAGAAUAAGCACCGGCUAACUACGUGCCAGCAGCCGCGGUAAUACGUAGGGUGCAAGCGUUAAUCGGAAUUACUGGGCGUAAAGCGUGCGCAGGCGGUUUGCUAAGACCGAUGUGAAAUCCCGGGCUCAACCUGGGAACUGCAUUGGUGACUGGCAGGCUAGAGUAUGGCAGAGGGGGGUAGAAUUCCACGUGUAGCAGUGAAAUGCGUAGAGAUGUGGAGGAAUACCGAUGGCGAAGGCAGCCCCCUGGGCCAAUACUGACGCUCAUGCACGAAAGCGUGGGGAGCAAACAGGAUUAGAUACCCUGGUAGUCCACGCCCUAAAACGAUGUCAACUAGUUGUUGGGGAUUCAUUUCCUUAGUAACGUAGCUAACGCGUGAAGUUGACCGCCUGGGGAGUACGGUCGCAAGAUUAAAACUCAAAGGAAUUGACGGGGUCAUAGCUGUUUCCU
Molecule: ribosomal RNA, 585 nt
Filed under: uncultured bacterium
Lineage: Bacteria
Description: partial 16S ribosomal RNA
Rfam family: Bacterial small subunit ribosomal RNA
Source: RNAcentral